This 301-nucleotide ribosomal RNA is filed under the name uncultured bacterium. RNAcentral describes it as "partial 16S ribosomal RNA". It matches the Rfam family "Bacterial small subunit ribosomal RNA", at positions 509 to 809 of the family's 1533-position model. The record is from RNAcentral.
CAGUCGCCGCGGGAAUACGUAGGUGGCGAGCGUUGUCCGGAAUUAUUGGGCGUAAAGGGAGCGCAGGCGGACAUAUAAGUCCAUCUUAAAAGUGCGGGGCUCAACCCCGUGAGGGGAUGGAAACUGUAUGCCUUGAGUGCAGGAGAGGAAAGCGGAAUUCCCAGUGUAGCGGUGAAAUGCGUAGAUAUUGGGAGGAAGACCAGUGGCGAAGGCGAUUCUCUGGGCAAUUCCUGACAUUGAGGCACGAAGGCCAGGGGAGCAAACGGGAUUAGAUACCCGCGUAGUCCCUGUCUCUUAUACA